This 273-nucleotide ribosomal RNA is filed under the name uncultured bacterium. Its description in RNAcentral is "partial 16S ribosomal RNA". It matches the Rfam family "Bacterial small subunit ribosomal RNA", at positions 524 to 796 of the family's 1533-position model. The record is from RNAcentral.
UACGAGGGGUCCAAGCGUUGUCCGGAAUCACUGGGCGUAAAGCGAAUGUAGGCGGCUAUUCAAGUCACUUGUGAAAGCCCGGGGCCUAACCCCGGAAGUGCAAGUGAUACUGUUUAGCUUGAGUAUCAGAGAGGACACUGGAAUACCUGGUGUAGUGGUGAAAUACGUAGAUAUCAGGUGGAACACCGGCGGCGAAGGCGGGUGUCUGGCUGAAUACUGACGCUGAGAUUCGAAAGCGUGGGGAGCAAACAGGAUUAGAUACCCCAGUAGUCC